CGGUAAUUCCAGCUCCAAUAGCGUAUAUUAAACUUGUUGCAGUUAAAAAGCUCGUAGUUGAAUUUUUGCUGCAUCGUGGUUCUUCGCUAUGUCGAGUGGGCCUCGUUGUGGCUUAGUUGGGGCAUGUUUUCAUGACUCGACGUUUACUUUGAGAAAAUUAGAGUGCUUCAAGCAGGCUUUUGCCUUGAAUACUUUAGCAUGGAAUAAUGGAGUAGGACUUUGGUUCUAUUUUGUUGGUUUUAGGAGCCGGAGUAAUGGUUAAUAGGAACAGUUGGGGGCAUUCGUAUUUGACUGUCAGAGGUGAAAUUCUUAGAUUUGUCAAAGACGAACUACUGCGAAAGCAUUUGCCAAGGAUGUUUUCAUUAAUCAAGAACGAAAGUUAGGGGAUCGAAGACGAUCAGAUACCGUCGUAGUCCUAACCAUAAACGAUGCCGACUAGAGAUUGGAGGUCGUCAGUU
This 458-nucleotide ribosomal RNA is filed under the name Theileria equi. RNAcentral's name for it is "SSU rRNA". It matches the Rfam family "Eukaryotic small subunit ribosomal RNA", at positions 577 to 1068 of the family's 1831-position model. The record is from RNAcentral. Lineage: Eukaryota; Apicomplexa; Aconoidasida; Piroplasmida; Theileriidae.